AAUUGAUCACAUGGUUCUAUGGGUAUAUGAUUGGGGGUUUGGCUAUAAAGAUCAAUCUAUUGCAAAUAUGAAUAACAUGGCAAUAGGUUUUGAACAAUGAUACAUAUAUAGCCCAGUGGAAUUGCUUGUCAGCUCCAGGAAGGGGAAGGGAAGAAAGGAGGAAAAGAUCAUGAAUCAUGUGAAGAAACUCAGGCCUAAAACUCUGAAUGCUUAUUUCCUUUUCUUCACCCUAUUUACUCAACUUAUCCAUUAUGAGAAAACUGAAAGAAUGUUGGAACUUCAGUCAGAGGAAGGAAGAAAGUGUCUCAGUCAUGGCGAGAGGACACAGAGGAGAUAAGAGUUUCAAAGUCAAUGAGUUUCUUCUUGCAGGUAAUGAAUUUUGGGGAGCUACCAGGAAGUCCAGGAAAGCAACAGGUUCAAAAUCCUGAAUCCAAGAAACUUGGGAAUAAUAGCAUACUCCAAACCACCAGACCUACUUCUAAAUCAGCUACUACAUCUAUCUUUGAGGGGAGAAAUCAUUAGAGAAAGGGUCCACCUUCCCCAUCACCACAAGGAAUAACUACUGACCAUCUACCAAGCUAUCAAUAGGCAGACAAUCCUGCUUCCAGCCCAGCAAUCAAAGCCACCAUCUCAGAAGGCAAUUUCUGUGGGAAAGGGGCCAACCAUCACCCACAAGGUAGGCAAGGAGCCCUGAGGGAAAAAUAGGAGCCAACAUGUGCCAGAUAAGUCAAAACAUCAUCACCACAUUGACUAUCAUGUCUCCACUCCCCCUCCCCAGAUCCUAAUGGAGACAGCAUUAGAACCCUAGAACCUUGAGUCCAACAAUGGACUUUGCCCAAGAUUCUCAACCACCAUCCCUUUGUGACUAUGCAGCCUGGCCACUGCUCCUGCAGGUACAAUAGCUUCAGCUACAGAAGACUCAGAAUAGAAAGUUCAUAUUGUCCAACAGUAAUCCAGGUGCCAAGUCCUAGAGAGCUAUUCUCAAACACUGUGCUCAUCUACACUGUCCUGAGGAGUUAUUUGUUAGCAUUAGAGUCCUCUAUACUGUCCCAGUGAGCCAUUCACUAAUGUUAUGCUUGUCCAUAUUGUUUCGGGGAGCUAUUCACUAACACCAAAUCUGUCUACACUGUCCCAGGAAGCUAGCUGUUUGUUAGCAUUUAUAAAUCAAGCCAUCAGUCAUGGUUUUGGAGUCAGUCCAAAUUGUUCAGGAGACUUUGACUUACUUCCAAACUCCCUGGUUUAACAUCAGUGUAGUUUUCCCAGUGCAGGAAAGCCUAUAUGGUGGUUCCAAAUGGUUAAUUGCACCAAGGAUGUCUUCAGGGCCACGAGGCCUGAAACUAGUAUAGAAUGUUGUCCAAAGGUUUUCCAGGAACUCAGACUGUAAAACAAAAUACAAUCUUAAGUAGAGCUCUCAUGUUCAAGCAGCAA
Molecule: long non-coding RNA, 1428 nt
Filed under: Monodelphis domestica (gray short-tailed opossum)
Lineage: Eukaryota; Metazoa; Chordata; Mammalia; Didelphimorphia; Didelphidae
Description: lncRNA (ENSMODG00000040357.1)
Source: RNAcentral